GUGCCGAAGCAAACGCAAUAAGUAUCCCGCCUGGGGAGUACGUUCGCAAGAAUAAAACUCAAAGGAAUUGACGGGGACCCGCACAAGUGGUGGAGCAUGUGGUUUAAUUCGAUGCAACGCGAAGAACCUUACCAGGGUUUGACAUCCUGCGAAUCUCCUGGAAACGGGAGAGUGCCUUCGGGAACGCAGUGACAGGUGGUGCAUGGCUGUCGUCAGCUCGUGUCGUGAGAUGUUGGGUUAAGUCCCGCAACGAGCGCAACCCACGUCUUUAGUUGCCAGCAUUCAGUUGGGCACUCUAGAGAGACCGCCGGUGAUAAACCGGAGGAAGGUGUGGAUGACGUCAAGUCAUCAUGCCCCUUACAUCCUGGGCUACACACGUACUACAAUGCUACGGACAAAGGGCAGCAAACUCGCGAGAGCUAGCAAAUCCCAUAAACCGUGGCUCAGUUCAGAUCGUAGGCUGCAACUCGCCUACGUGAAGGAGGAAUCGCUAGUAAUCGCAGGUCAGCAUACUGCGGUGAAUACGUUCCCGGGCCUUGUACACACCGCCCGUCACACCAUGGAAGUUGGCCACGCCCGAAGCCGUUACUCCAACCCUUGUGGAGGAGGACGUCGAAGGUGGGGCUGAUGACUGGGGUGAAGUCGUAACAAGGUAACCAAGGGCGAA
Molecule: ribosomal RNA, 667 nt
Filed under: uncultured bacterium
Lineage: Bacteria
Description: bacterial SSU rRNA
Rfam family: Bacterial small subunit ribosomal RNA
Source: RNAcentral